RNAcentral lists this signal recognition particle RNA (265 nucleotides) under Candidatus Zixiibacteriota bacterium. RNAcentral describes it as "candidate division Zixibacteria bacterium signal recognition particle sRNA large type". It matches the Rfam family "Bacterial large signal recognition particle RNA". From Rfam's summary of the family: The signal recognition particle (SRP) is a universally conserved ribonucleoprotein involved in the co-translational targeting of proteins to membranes. Archaeal SRP consists of a 7S RNA and homologues of the eukaryotic SRP19 and SRP54 proteins. The record is from RNAcentral. Lineage: Bacteria; Pseudomonadati; Candidatus Zixiibacteriota.
CUGUGCUAGAUGGGGAGUUAGCGGUGCCCUGUAACCCGGAAUCCGCUAUACCGGGGUCGAAUUCCCACCCGAGGGCUUAGCGGUCGUCUUAUUCCGACGGUUAAGCAGCGUUGAGGGUUGGGUCCCGUACAACAGAAGCCUGUGAACCCCGUCAGGACCGGAAGGUAGCAGCGGUAAACAGAUCCUUUUGUGUGUUGCGGGAUCGCCCAACCGGAGCCGGCUGGCCGGAGGGUUUUUCGGCAGCGGUUCGGAGGUGGGUGCACGU